Long non-coding RNA from Morone saxatilis (striped sea-bass), 183 nucleotides. RefSeq lists it as uncharacterized. The transcript is spliced from 3 exons. The record is from RefSeq and is a predicted model, not a curated record. NCBI's taxonomy places the organism in Eukaryota, Metazoa, Chordata, Actinopteri, Moronidae.
CAGGAAUCCAUUAUGAUCUGGAGGAAUGACAGCAGCAGUCUGAUUGAGAAAAUAAAGAAGAAGGACUUUGAGAUAAGCCAGCUCCUGGGUAAGAUUGAGGAUGAGCAGACUCUUGGAAUCCAGCUACAGAAAAAGAUAAAGGAACUUCAGGCUCGUAUUGAGGAGCUGGAGGUGUAAGACGAU